CUCAGCCUCCCGAGUAGCUGGGAUUACAGGGGUGUGCUACCAUGCCCAGCUAAUUUUUGUAUUUUUAGUAGAGAAGGGGUUUCACCAUGUUGGCCAGGCUUGUCUCGAUCUCCUGACCUCAGCUGAUCCACCCAUCUUGGCAUCUCAAAGUGCUGGGAUUAUAGGUGUGAGCUGCCACGCCCGCCCCAUGUAUACGUUUUUUUAAAAAGGGAUGAAGAAAAAUAUACCAUGAAAACAUCAAUGAAAAAAAGCAGGAGUCAUCAUAUUAAUGUUGGACAAAUCACUACCGAUCAAUUUUAGACAAAAUAUAAUCAACUAAGUCUAAUUGACAUUUAUAGAACACUUUAUUCAACAAUAGUAGAAUACAAAUUUAUCUCAAGUACACAAGCAGCAUUCAUCCCAAUAGAUCAUGUUCUGGGCUAAAAACAAACCUCAAAAAAUGUAAAGGAAUAGAAAUAAUACAAUGGGCAUUCUUGCAUCAUAUCCAAAUAGCACUAGAAAUUGAUAAGAGUUAGUCAGAAACGCCCAAUGGUUAGGAAUUUAAACACUAUACUUUUAAAUAGCCCAUGGGUCAAAAAAGAGAUGUCUUAAGGAAAAUUUCAAAGUCUUUUGAAAUGAAAUAGAAUAAAUCAGAAUUUGUGGGAUGCAGAAUAAGUAGUCCUUAGAGGGAGAUGUAUAGCAUUGAAUACUCAUACUCGACAAAGAUGAAAAAUCACAAAGUUGCUUAAAUUUCUACCUUAGGAAACUCAUGAGAGAAAAGAAAACCUAUUUUGGAGGACAAGGGGAAAGAAUUGCUUGAGGCCAGGAGUUCCAGGUAGCCUGGGCAACAAAGCGAAACCCCCAAAAAUUAAAAAAAAAAAAAUUAGCUGGGUGUGGUGGCAUGUGCCCGUAGUCCCAGCUACUAGGGAGGCUGAGGCAGGAGGAUCACUUGAUCCUGGGAGUCUGAGGCUGCAGUGAUCUAUGAUUGUGCCACUGCACUCCAGCCUGUGGGGGGCAAAGCAAGACCCUGC
This 1010-nucleotide long non-coding RNA is filed under the name Homo sapiens (human). Its description in RNAcentral is "HSALNT0341492". Lineage: Eukaryota; Metazoa; Chordata; Mammalia; Primates; Hominidae. The record is from RNAcentral.